GGAGCUUGCUCCGCUGACGAGUGGCGAACGGGUGAGUAAUGUAUCGGAGCGUACCUUUCAGUGGGGGAUAACGUAGCGAAAGUUACGCUAAUACCGCAUAUUCUGUGAGCAGGAAAGCUGGGGAUCGCAAGACCUUGCGCUGAUUGAGCGGCCGAUAUCAGAUUAGCUAGUUGGUGAGGUAAAGGCUCACCAAGGCGACGAUCUGUAGCGGGUCUGAGAGGAUGAUCCGCCACACUGGAACUAAGACACGGUCCAGACUCCUACGGGAGGCAGCAGUGGGGAAUUUUGGACAAUGGGGGCAACCCUGAUCCAGCCAUGCCGCGUGAGUGAAGAAGGCCUUCGGGUUGUAAAGCUCUUUCGGCCGGGAAGAAAUCGUAUGGGUUAAUACCCUGUGCGGAUGACGGUACCGGCAUAAGAAGCACCGGCUAACUACGUGCCAGCAGCCGCGGUAAUACGUAGGGUGCGAGCGUUAAUCGGAAUUACUGGGCGUAAAGCGUGCGCAGGCGGUUUUGUAAGACAGGCGUGAAAUCCCCGGGCUCAACCUGGGAACUGCGCUUGUGACUGCAAGGCUAGAGUAUGGCAGAGGGGGGUGGAAUUCCACGUGUAGCAGUGAAAUGCGUAGAGAUGUGGAGGAACACCAAUGGCGAAGGCAGCCCCCUGGGCCAAUACUGACGCUCAUGCACGAAAGCGUGGGUAGCAAACAGGAUUAGAUACCCUGGUAGUCCACGCCCUAAACGAUGUCAACUAGGUGUUGGGUGGGUAAAACCAUUUAGUACCGGAGCUAACGCGUGAAGUUGACCGCCUGGGGAGUACGGCCGCAAGGUUAAAACUCAAAGGAAUUGACGGGGACCCGCACAAGCGGUGGAUGAUGUGGAUUAAUUCGAUGCAACGCGAAAAACCUUACCUACCCUUGACAUGUCCAGGAGCCUGAAGAGAUUUGGGUGUGCCCGAAAGGGAACUGGAACACAGGUGCUGCAUGGCUGUCGUCAGCUCGUGUCGUGAGAUGUUGGGUUAAGUCCCGCAACGAGCGCAACCCUUGUCGUUAAUUGCCAUCAUUUAGUUGGGCACUUUAACGAGACUGCCGGUGACAAACCGGAGGAAGGUGGGGAUGACGUCAAGUCCUCAUGGCCCUUAUGGGUAGGGCUUCACACGUCAUACAAUGGUCGGUACAAAGGGUUGCCAACCCGCGAGGGGGAGCCAAUCCCAGAAAGCCGAUCGUAGUCCGGAUUGCAGGCUGCAACUCGCCUGCAUGAAGUCGGAAUCGCUAGUAAUCGUGGAUCAGCAUGUCACGGUGAAUACGUUCCCGGGUCUUGUACACACCGCCCGUCACACCAUGGGAGCGGGUUCCGCCAGAAGUAGGUAGCCUAACC
RNAcentral lists this ribosomal RNA (1370 nucleotides) under metagenome. RNAcentral's name for it is "bacterial SSU rRNA". It matches the Rfam family "Bacterial small subunit ribosomal RNA", at positions 75 to 1440 of the family's 1533-position model. The record is from RNAcentral.